Molecule: ribosomal RNA, 582 nt
Filed under: uncultured bacterium
Lineage: Bacteria
Description: bacterial SSU rRNA
Rfam family: Bacterial small subunit ribosomal RNA
Source: RNAcentral
GCGCAGCUGACCAGCAUGUCGCGUGCAGGAAGAAGGCUUCGGGUUGUAUACUGCUUUUGUCAGAGAAGAAAUCCUCUGGGUUAAUACCUCGGGGGGAUGACGGUACCUGAAGAAUAAGCACCGGCUAACUACGUGCCAGCAGCCGCGGUAAUACGUAGGGUGCGAGCGUUAAUCGGAAUUACUGGGCGUAAAGCGUGCGCAGGCGGUUUUGUAAGACAGAGGUGAAAUCCCCGGGCUCAACCUGGGAACUGCCUUUGUGACUGCAAGGCUGGAGUACGGCAGAGGGGGAUGGAAUUCCGCGUGUAGCAGUGAAAUGCGUAGAUAUGCGGAGGAACACCGAUGGCGAAGGCAAUCCCCUGUGCCUGUAUUGACGCUCAUGCACGAAAGCGUGGGGAGCAAACAGGAUUAGAUACCCUGGAUAGUCCACGCCCUAAACGAUGUCAACUGGUUGUUGGACGGCUUGCUGUUCAGUAACGAAGCUAACGCGUGAAGUUGACCGCCUGGGGAGUACGGACGCAAAGGUUGAAACUCAAAGGAAUUGACAGGGACCCGCACAAAGCGGUGGAUGAUGUGGUUAAUUCG